CAGCCCCGCCGCCCCUCGGACCGAGCCCCGUGCAACUACAAGUCCCAUUACGCUCCGCGAAGUCUUGAUCGCCCGGCUUUUGCAGGGAAAGGAGUGGGUGAACAUGGCUGAAGGCACCCGGAUCGGCCCAACGUGCCACGGGAUGGGUAGCAGGCAGGACCCCGUCUCCAGCAGUGGGAGCUGCAACUUUCCAGAGUACGAGCUUCCCGAGCUAAAUACGCGUGCAUUCUAUGUGGGCGCUUUCGGGGAGCUGUGGCGUGGCCGGUUGCGCGGAGAAGGGGACUUGUCGCUGAAGGAGCCGCAAGCAUCCGCGCUGCCAGGGAGCCAAGGGGUCGCCGAGUGGGGCCAGGAGGAUGCUGCGGUGGCCCGGGAUCUGGGCUGCAGCUUGGAGGCGGCAGCAGAGCUGCGGACCGUGUGCGGCCUUGAUAAAUUAAAGUGCCUUGAGGAGGGUGAGGACCCAGAAGUCAUCCCAGAGAACACCGACCUAGUGACUUUGGGGGUUAGAAAGAGGCUUCUGGAACAGCGGGAAGAAACCAUAACAAUAGAUCGGGUUUGCAGGCAAGAAACCUUUGCUUACGAGAUGGAGUCACAUGCCAUAGGAAAAAAGCCUGAAAACCCAGCAGACAUGGUUGAAGAAGGGGAGCUUAUCCUAUCUGUGAAUAUCUUGUACCCCGUUAUAUUUCAUAAGCACAAAGAACACAAACCAUACCAGACGAUGCUGGUAUUGGGCAGUCAAAAGCUCACGGAACUGAGGGAUUCAAUUUGUUGUGUCAGUGACCUCCAGAUUGGUGGCGAAUUCAGCAACACUCCUGAUCAAGCUCCUGAGCACAUAAGCAAAGACCUGUACAAAUCAGCCUUCUUUUAUUUUGAAGGAACAUUUUAUAAUGAUAAGAGAUACCCUGAGUGCAGAGAUUUGAGCAGAACUAUCAUUGAGUGGUCAGAGUCCCAUGAUAGAGGCUAUGGAAAAUUUCAGACCGCUAAAAUGGAAGAUUUUACCUUCAAUGACUUGUAUAUUAAACUGGGUUUUCCUUACUUAUAUUGUCACCAGGGAGACUGUGAGCAUGUUGUCGUCAUCACUGACAUAAGGCUUGUGCAUCGUGAUGACUGCUUGGAUAGGACCCUUUAUCCCCUUCUUAUCAAGAAGCAUUGGUUAUGGACCAGAAAAUGUUUUGUUUGUAAAAUGUACACAGCCAGAUGGGUGACGAACAAUGACAGUUUUGCACCAGAGGACCCAUGUUUCUUUUGUGAUGUUUGCUUUCGGAUGCUCCACUAUGAUUCAGAAGGCAACAAACUGGGAGAAUUCCUUGCUUAUCCUUAUGUUGAUCCUGGAACCUUUAAUUAAUAACAAAAGUACACCCUUGUGAAGUAACUACCCUGUGGAUGGUUACUUUAUUUCCAAAACAUGUCACUGAGGAACAGGAUCCACCCGAAACAAUCAGCCAGUUACCCACCCCCCUGCACAAGUUCAGAUCACAGGUUUUCUUACAAAGUAACUUGUGUUUAGAAAUACAUUAGUAUUUAUUCCAAAAUAUGGUGAUUAUUUAGUGCCUCUGCCCAUUAAGUGUGUUUAUCUAAGUUGUAGGAGUACUUUAUAUAUUUUGAAUACAAAUCCUUUGUCAGAUUCAAGUGUUCUGAUUUUUGCCCAGUCUGUGGCUUGUCUAUUCAUUCUGUGUCCAGAGUGGUUUUUGCUAAUCUGUAAUUAGAAAAAUUCAGUUAAUGAUACAUCAAGUGGUGGGAGUAUUUUGAAAAUUCUUUGAAGAGUGCGAGAGCUACACCUUGUACAGAGCUACACCUUGUACCGUGAGGCUUCCAAGGUUAUUCAUUUAAAGUCAAUUGAGUUCCACAUUCCCUGGAUGGUUAAGAGCAGACAUUUACCAUACAAGUCAAAACUGAUGAAUCCUUUAAGCCUGUAUGUUUAAAAGAUUGGCAGUGAAAUGUUUUGUGGACUUAAGUACCACAUACCCAAUUAAGUCCAUUGCUGUACAGAGGACACGCACCUGUUUCUGGUAUGUGUAGUGACCGUCUCUUUCACUCAUUCAGUGAAUACACCACCAGAGGAUCAGUAUAAAGAACUAAGAGAUCCCUCCCUCCCUUGCCUGGCUUCAGUUGCUGCCUAAAUGUUUACUUUCAUGUUUCCAAUGAUGCUAAUAAAUUCAACAGAUUGAAAAUUC
Felis catus (domestic cat) is the source of this 2171-nucleotide RNA transcript. It is a transcript of the gene named small nuclear RNA activating complex polypeptide 3, with no coding region annotated. The transcript is spliced from 10 exons. NCBI's taxonomy places the organism in Eukaryota, Metazoa, Chordata, Mammalia, Carnivora, Felidae. The record is from RefSeq and is a predicted model, not a curated record.